Molecule: ribosomal RNA, 253 nt
Filed under: uncultured bacterium
Lineage: Bacteria
Description: partial 16S ribosomal RNA
Rfam family: Bacterial small subunit ribosomal RNA
Source: RNAcentral
UACGAAGGGGGCUAGCGUUGCUCGGAAUCACUGGGCGUAAAGGGUGCGUAGGCGGGUCUUUAAGUCAGGGGUGAAAUCCUGGAGCUCAACUCCAGAACUGCCUUUGAUACUGAAGAUCUUGAGUUCGGGAGAGGUGAGUGGAACUGCGAGUGUAGAGGUGAAAUUCGUAGAUAUUCGCAAGAACACCAGUAGCGAAGGCGGCUCACUGGCCCGAUACUGACGCUGAGGCACGAAAGCGUGGGGAGCAAACAGG